This 217-nucleotide long non-coding RNA is filed under the name Mytilus galloprovincialis (Mediterranean mussel). The record is from RNAcentral. Lineage: Eukaryota; Metazoa; Mollusca; Bivalvia; Mytilida; Mytilidae.
GCAAGAUUGAUUAAACUUGGUGUAUUUUUACUGGAACCCUUCUUUAAUGAAGCAGAGAGAUUUAUGAGUGAUAAUUGUUUGCAUUUGUUUAUAUGCUAUUUGUAUCAGCAAAUCAGUAACUGUAUUGCAACAUGUACUCAAGAAGAUCUUUAGUAUCUCUUGGUAUAAUGCUUAUUUUAUUUCUGCAAUUUUAAUUUUUUUUUUAUUACGAAACAAC